GACGAACGCUGGCGGCGUGCUUAACACAUGCAAGUCGAACGGAAAGGCCUGCUUUCCCUUGUGGAUUGCGGGUACUCGAGUGGCGAACGGGUGAGUAACACGUGAGUGAUCUUCCCCCAACUUGGGUAUAAGCCUGGGAAGCUGGGUCUAAUUCCCGAUAGGACUGCAGGGUGGUGCCUGUGGUGGAAAACGAUUUUCUAGUGGUUGGGGAUGAGCUCGCGGCCUAUCAGCUUGUUGGUGGGGUAAUGGCCUACCAAGGCGGCGACGGGUAGCCGGCCUGGGAGGGUGGACGGCCACAUUGGGACUGAGAUACGGCCCAGACUCCUACGGGAGGCAGCAGUGGGGAAUAUUGCACAAUGGGCGGAAGCCUGAUGCAGCGACGCCGCGUGGGGGAUGACGGCCUUCGGGUUGUAAACUCCUUUCGACCGCGAGGAAGCCACCUGGUUGGAAGGGUGGUGACGGUAGUGGUAGAAGAAGCACCGGCUAACUACGUG
RNAcentral lists this ribosomal RNA (494 nucleotides) under uncultured bacterium. RNAcentral describes it as "partial 16S ribosomal RNA". It matches the Rfam family "Bacterial small subunit ribosomal RNA", at positions 28 to 507 of the family's 1533-position model. The record is from RNAcentral.